AUGGGACUUCCACCGUCGUUGAGGGGAUUAUCUUUAGGUGGUUGCAGCGACGAACUAAGUAUGCAGUGCAGAAUGGCAGCAACGGAGAAGCUACAGGGGUUAAAGAGGGAGGUAGGCAGCAAGAAGGCGGUCACCAGCGGAAAGGAAUGGGUGCAUUCUGUCUUGAGAACUACUCCACUUGAUACCCUCAGCCUCCUCUUGCUUAAAAUCCGAAGCUCGCACAAAGAACAUUUUGGUCCUAAGGGUUAUGAUACUGGUGCAAUCAAA
RNAcentral lists this long non-coding RNA (267 nucleotides) under Oryza sativa aus subgroup. Its description in RNAcentral is "lncRNA OsNaBo_04g0026250". Lineage: Eukaryota; Viridiplantae; Streptophyta; Magnoliopsida; Poales; Poaceae. The record is from RNAcentral.